UACGUAGGGAGCAAGCGUUGUCCGGAAUUACUGGGCGUAAAGGGCGCGUAGGCGGGAAUUUAAGUUAGGUGUGAAACCUAUGGGCUCAACCCAUAGCCUGCACCUAAAACUGGAUUUCUUGAGGGCAGGAGAGGAAAGUGGAAUUCCUAGUGUAGCGGUGAAAUGCGUAGAUAUUAGGAGGAACACCAGUGGCGAAGGCGACUUUCUGGACUGUACCUGACGCUGAGGCGCGAAAGCGUGGGGAGCGAAC
This 250-nucleotide ribosomal RNA is filed under the name uncultured bacterium. RNAcentral describes it as "partial 16S ribosomal RNA". It matches the Rfam family "Bacterial small subunit ribosomal RNA", at positions 524 to 773 of the family's 1533-position model. The record is from RNAcentral.